GGGGAUUUAGCUCAGUGGUAGAGCGCUUGCCUAGCAAGCGCCUGGGUUCAGUCCCCA
This 57-nucleotide transfer RNA is filed under the name Rattus norvegicus (Norway rat). It matches the Rfam family "tRNA". Rfam says of the family: Transfer RNA (tRNA) molecules are approximately 80 nucleotides in length. The record is from Rfam by way of RNAcentral. Lineage: Eukaryota; Metazoa; Chordata; Mammalia; Rodentia; Muridae.